CGUGACUGACACAAACACAAACACAAACAAAAUGUAAAAAUACUGUCACCAUACGAGGACGUCGAGCCUUGAAACUGCCACGAAAAACAGUGCAGCGAAAAUAUUGGUCGGACCAAAGGAAAAGCAGAAGUACGUUGGACUCAGCAGCAACAGCAGAAUCUUAUACAGAACUUCUUGAAGGCGGCA
Sinocyclocheilus anshuiensis is the source of this 186-nucleotide long non-coding RNA. RefSeq lists it as uncharacterized. The record is from RefSeq and is a predicted model, not a curated record. The transcript has 3 exons. Lineage: Eukaryota; Metazoa; Chordata; Actinopteri; Cypriniformes; Cyprinidae.